RNAcentral lists this transfer RNA (75 nucleotides) under Candidatus Liberibacter asiaticus. RNAcentral describes it as "tRNA-Lys". It matches the Rfam family "tRNA". Rfam says of the family: Transfer RNA (tRNA) molecules are approximately 80 nucleotides in length. Their secondary structure includes four short double-helical elements and three loops (D, anti-codon, and T loops). Further hydrogen bonds mediate the characteristic L-shaped molecular structure. tRNAs have two regions of fundamental functional importance: the anti-codon, which is responsible for specific mRNA codon recognition, and the 3' end, to which the tRNAs corresponding amino acid is attached (by aminoacyl-tRNA synthetases). tRNAs cope with the degeneracy of the genetic code in two manners: having more than one tRNA (with a specific anti-codon) for a particular amino acid; and 'wobble' base-pairing, i.e. permitting non-standard base-pairing at the 3rd anti-codon position. Lineage: Bacteria; Pseudomonadati; Pseudomonadota; Alphaproteobacteria; Hyphomicrobiales; Rhizobiaceae. RNAcentral also lists the same sequence under 3 other names. The record is from RNAcentral.
GGGUGAUUAGCUCAGCGGUAGAGCAGCUGACUCUUAAUCAGUUGGUCGCUGGUUCGAAUCCGGCAUCACCCACCA